Molecule: non-coding RNA, 4940 nt
Organism: Myodes glareolus (Bank vole)
Lineage: Eukaryota; Metazoa; Chordata; Mammalia; Rodentia; Cricetidae
Source: RefSeq, a predicted model, not a curated record
GCAAAGGCUCCUACCCACUGAGCCACCUCUUGAGCCCAACAUUUGGUUUUCUUGAAAGAAUGAAGACAUAAUAGUAGCGGUACUGAUGGGAAAGGAUCGCAGAAGAAUGUUGGCUUGGGGUGAAUACAUUCUAAAGUCACAAUGGAAACUCAAAUGGAGGGGACAAAAUACAGGUCUGGAGAAUAAGGUAGAAGAGGAAUAAUUAGUUACGAUCAUAGCACUUGGGAAUCUGAGGCAAGGGGAUCUAAAGUUUGAGACCAUAACAAGACCUAUACAGCCAAGACCAUGUCAAAAAAAAUAACUAGAUUAUGAAUGUUAAUUGAGUCAAGGUGGUUAUAUACAAAGGGAAGACGAAAGCUGGUGAAGGAUAAGGGUCUGGGAGCAAUGAGAUGUCUGGGCGGCCAAUGGAGGAAGCAGCCAGGUAGGAAAGCUGAGCAGACAGCAGAGGCAUCGAGACCCAGCGGGAGAAUUAGAGGGGUUAUCAUACAACAAAGGAUGGAGAGACACCCCAAAGGAGCAGUGUUUGGUGAUAUCAAAUACUUCAUAGAAGGCAAGGGAAACAAUGGGAAGUAUUCACUGGCCGUGGCAAUCAGAGGGUUGCUGAAGAUCUUUAAAAGGACAUCAAAGCACACAGGCAACAAAAGCAGAAAUGAAGAGGUAGAACUGCAGCAAAGCGAAACACUUCCCCACAGGUGAAGGGACCGACCAGCCAAUACAAUGAAAGGGCGACCCAUGGAACUGCAGAAAAUAUUUGCAAAUCAUAUAUCCGACGAGGAGGAUAACAUUCCAAAAUAAAUACAAGGCACUUAGGCAACUCAAUAGCAAAAAUCAGAUAAUCCAAUCUAAAACUGGACAAAGGACUUGAAUAAAGAUAUGCGUUUUCCCAGAGGAGACAGAUGAAUACACCCGCAAGAACCAGAAAAGGUGUUCAGUAUCACUAAUCCCCAGAGAAAUGCAAAUCAAAGCCACAGUGAGACAUUAUACCUCUCUGAAUGGUUAUUAAAAAGACAAAAGAGCCAGAAUGGUGGGCUCAAUGGUACAGUGUUUGCUGUAAAAGCCCGGAGAUCCAAGUCAAUGGGAGAGAAGUGACUCAGUUCCGUGUAGUUGUCCUGUGAUUUGCACACAUAGGUUAUGGCAAUCGUGCACCCUUCCAUACCCAAUCAUAAAUGAAUAAAUGAAUGAAUACUAAAUAAAUCUAAUUUUUAAAGACACAAGAGAUGAUUGAGGAUGUAGAGAAAAGAGAAUCUCCACACGCUGCUGGUGAGAAUGUAAAUUGGUACAGACUUUAUAAAAAACAAAACAAAACAAAACAGUAUGGAGGUAUUCAGGAUAGGGUCCAAAAUUAAAGAUAGGGUUACCAUGUGACCCAGGGAUCACAUUUCCCAUUUUAUUUUGUUCCUCUAAAAUGAAAUGAAUACAUCAAAGAAAUGCCUGUACCCCCAAGUACAUUGCAGCUGUGUUCACAGGAGUGAAGACACGGGAACAGCCUUCAGUGCCCAUUGUUAGAUGGACAGAUAAGGAAGCCAUGUUGUAUACACAGUAGACUAUCAACCGGUCAUCCAAAGGAAAUCUGUCACUUUUGACAAUGUGGCUGAAUCUUGUGGGUGUGCUGACAGAAAAAGACCAAUAUUGGAUGAUCUCAUUUAUGUGUAGAAUAUAAAAACACUGAAGAUGGAGAGACAAAUAAGAUGGUGGCUUCUGGGACCUGGGAGAGGGUGGUGAGAAACACAAGCAGAUCUUCGUCAUGGGGUUCAAACUUUACAUUUCCAGCUUGGUAAAUUCUGGAGCGCUCGUGAAUAUCACCGUGACCAGAACUAAACUGCAUCACAGCAUUGCAAUCUCUUGAUCCUCGAAUGUUCCCGCCAUUCAUGUAGAACAGAACUAGAUGAAGUGACAGAUACAUGAACUGUGUCUUGACGGUAGCGACCAUUUCACACGAUGAAGACAUCAAAUCAUCACACUAAACAUUCUAAAUGUAUCCAGUUGUGUUUCUAUCAUACCACACUAAAACUGGACAGUUCCCCCUUCCCCCAAUUAAAAAGCAAAGAGAUGGAUGUUAAUUUGCUUAAGUUUUGCGAUCAUUUUGCUCUGCGCAAGUGUAUUCAGCAUCCUACUGCCCUACAGGCUCCAAGAAAGGAACUCCUUGAAAUACAAGUAAAGGACAGCAAAGGAUAUGGAGCUCAGACUGGACCACGGUGGGUUCAAAUGUCAAUCUAAGGUAAGGAGUAAACAGGCAAAGAUGGAUUUGGUGAUGAAGAAAAUCAGUGGUAAUACCUGAUGUUUGUUAGGUGCUUGUGUUGUUAAGCAUUGUGCCCAACCUGUGACAUCUCACCUGAUUUUAUAGGCUACAACCGGUUAUUAUCUUUUUAUACAGUAGAAACAUACUUUGGAAGCUCAAAGAGGCAAAGAUCACAUAAUGAACAGUUGUAAAAUGAGAUUCAAACCUAGUACGGACUGACAUAAGCCUGAGACAUGACACUGGUCACUACAGAGGAGAAGAUGCAGGCAGAGGGCACCCUUGUUUAUAUGUUUUAAAAAGUUUUAUAUAUGUAUGAAGGCUUCUUCAGAAACCAUGGGGGGUUGUUUUGUUUUGAGAUGAAAAUCGUGUCAUACAUAGACAAAAUCACAAGACACUGUUUUUCUUGUAUUACUAUCCUGAUAUCUUAUCCGCAAGCAAUGAGAGUAAAUGACUUCAGUUCUUUGCAAAGGGACCUUUGCACUCAAGCAGUUAUCUGGUCAGUGAUUGGUAUCAGAGAAUUCACCAUCAGCUUUCUGGACCUUUCGGGAAGAGCAGCAGGUGAAAUGACGGAGAGUCCUAGAUCCAGCCUUUGUCUGGAGCUGAAGGGAACUCAGAAACGUACAGUGUGUGGCUUCAGUGCUCAGGCAGGGUCCAAGUGUCGCGGGAGUGGCCCUGUGGCACUGUUUUACAUUGAGAUUUUUAUGUUUUUUUUUUUUAAUUCAGAUUCUACACAGAAAGUUCCGAACUCUCGAUUUGAUUAUGAAAGUGUACUUGCUGAGUUGCACCCACUGUGUGCUAGCUGUGUGCCAAAUGCUCCGAGGGUACAAUGACAGUCAAAAACCUAAGUACCACUUGUCACCCAGAUUAUAUCUCCUUAAUUUCUCCAGUUAAGUGUACUAUUUCAUAAGCCUCUUAAACAGAAACCCAGCUUCUCUUCCUCCUGCAUUACUUAAGAAAUAAAAACACUUUUUUGAAUCCACUUCUAAACGCCAUUUCUGGAGACCAGGGAGGUAACUGAGCCAGACAUUUCUUCUCUCUGUUUUGCCCUUUUUGUCCCUGCUCUGAGCCUUCAAGGUCUUCUGGGCUUGGGUUUCGUUGAUUAGUUGACUGGUCUCACCUGGGUUUUAGAAGCUGGUCAAAGCCCUUUGGAUGGAAGAAAUGUUUUGAUUUCUUAAUUCUGAGAAGAUGGUACUUAGAUCCUAUUCUGGCUACAGGGACCACCGAGCUGUACACGGAAGGGAACGUCCUCAGAGUCCUUCAUCUACACUUAGCAUGCUCCAUUAUAUCCCAGUGACAUCAACUUUAGUCAGAAAGCUUUGCGUGCCCCACACUGUGCUGAUGCUUCUUCCAUGACACUGAGGGUUUCUAAAAGGCCUUGUUCCCGAUUCAUUUUAGGGGAUACUACCAUGACCCCCAAACAUGCCAGAACCUGUUUUCUCUUUCUUCUGAGCUGCCUCUUUUAACCAGUAAAAUGUCAUCAUCAGGAGUCUGUCCUUCACAAUACAGCCAUCAUAACCGACUACAACAUGAAUAAACAGUUCACCACCAACUUAUACCCUCCACCCCUAAUCUCAGCUUUUUAUCUAAGGGGAAUGGGAAAGGAGAUAGAUCUAAGAUUAAAUCCAUCCCAUUAGUCCCUUAUUUUAAGGCAGUGGGUUUCUUGUAGUUACAUAGUUCAUUUAAGUGACUUGCAAAAUAGAGAUGUUCUGUUCCAGUGUGAUUUUCUUAAGUCUUCUUUUAGAAAAAUAUAUUUUUCUGGUUGUCUAGGCACUUCCUUUUAGAAAUAAUGAUAACCAUCAUUUGUUUGGUAGAGAUGGUAACAAUACUUUACAUUCAUUAUCUCAUCUCUCUUACCGAAAAAUUGUGAGUCUAAUAGAGGAUGUAACAUGCACAGAAAUUAUAGUCCAAGAUAGAAGGUGUAAAAGGCUACAGAAUGGGGUAAGGGCAAUGCAUCAAGGGAACUCUUAGACAGGAGGGAUCGCUUCUAACCAGAGAGGCUCAUUCAAUCAACAUCCAGCAUUAAAAAGUGUGUGCAUUUUCCAUUCUGGCCUCAAGAAUCUCAGAGACCACGAAGGAACAGACAAAGACACGAAGAUGACCCCGCCACAGUGUGAUGUCAUCUGAAGAUGGCAAUCAAGCCCAUUUGCAUAGACUUCUUGGAAGAGACUGAAGAGUAUACCACCAGGACCAUUAGCUCCUGGAAAGGAAGGAGAUGCGUCCUAAGAGAGCCGAAAGAGAAAAGCCUUACAGAAGAAACACAUCAGCCUUCUAGUCUCAGCCCUGCUGUGCACCAGCUGAAAGGCUUUGAAUAAAUGCUUAGCCUAUAGAGCUUUUAUUUUUCCCAUUUGUAGAACACCCUUUGGUACAUUGGUACAAGAAGAGUGGGGGGGCAUUUAAUAGGAAGUGGAAAGAACAUGGCACUAACCUUUCCCAAAAUUCCAAUUUAAUACAUGCAUUCCAGUUUUAAGAUAGCACACUGUGUACAUAAUGGUCUUUUCCUCACCAAAAUUAUAGUCCUCGAAGAAGCAGAUUAAUAGAUGUUCAAAAAAGAGAGCCAGUCCCUUUGGAUCAGAAGCUGGCAGGAAAUAAGAAACCAAGGCAGGAAGCUUUGGUUCUUCCCAUCACAGAGAUGUGGACAUGUGCAUGUCUAACUGGAGUCUUCUAGUUCUCUCUCGUCUUGUCAGAAAUGGAAAAUGAUGGG